This is an unclassified non-coding RNA of Macaca fascicularis (crab-eating macaque), 148 nucleotides long. It matches the Rfam family "Metazoan signal recognition particle RNA". From Rfam's summary of the family: The signal recognition particle (SRP) is a universally conserved ribonucleoprotein. It is involved in the co-translational targeting of proteins to membranes. The record is from Ensembl. Lineage: Eukaryota; Metazoa; Chordata; Mammalia; Primates; Cercopithecidae.
GCCAGGCGUGGUGGCGCAUGCCUGUAGUCCCAGCUACUUGGGAGGUUGAGGCAUGAGAAUCACUUGAACCCAGGAGGCAGAGGUAGCAGUGAGCCGAGAUUGUGCCACUGCACUUCAGCCUGGGUGAUAGAGUGAGACCUUCUCUCAA